This 513-nucleotide ribosomal RNA is filed under the name Pseudomonas sp. RNAcentral describes it as "bacterial SSU rRNA". It matches the Rfam family "Bacterial small subunit ribosomal RNA", at positions 69 to 578 of the family's 1533-position model. The record is from RNAcentral. Lineage: Bacteria; Pseudomonadati; Pseudomonadota; Gammaproteobacteria; Pseudomonadales; Pseudomonadaceae.
GCACGGGUACUUGUACCUGGUGGCGAGCGGCGGACGGGUGAGUAAUGCCUAGGAAUCUGCCUGGUAGUGGGGGAUAACGCUCGGAAACGGACGCUAAUACCGCAUACGUCCUACGGGAGAAAGCAGGGGACCUUCGGGCCUUGCGCUAUCAGAUGAGCCUAGGUCGGAUUAGCUAGUUGGUGAGGUAAUGGCUCACCAAGGCGACGAUCCGUAACUGGUCUGAGAGGAUGAUCAGUCACACUGGAACUGAGACACGGUCCAGACUCCUACGGGAGGCAGCAGUGGGGAAUAUUGGACAAUGGGCGAAAGCCUGAUCCAGCCAUGCCGCGUGUGUGAAGAAGGUCUUCGGAUUGUAAAGCACUUUAAGUUGGGAGGAAGGGCAGUUACCUAAUACGUAUCUGUUUUGACGUUACCGACAGAAUAAGCACCGGCUAACUCUGUGCCAGCAGCCGCGGUAAUACAGAGGGUGCAAGCGUUAAUCGGAAUUACUGGGCGUAAAGCGCGCGUAGGUGG